This 64-nucleotide transfer RNA is filed under the name Serica brunnea. RNAcentral describes it as "tRNA-His". The record is from RNAcentral. Lineage: Eukaryota; Metazoa; Arthropoda; Insecta; Coleoptera; Scarabaeidae.
GUUUAAAUAGUUUAAUAAAAAUAUUGAUUUGUGGAGUCAAUGAUAUAAGUAAUUAUUUUAGACA